Mirounga angustirostris (Northern elephant seal) is the source of this 2205-nucleotide long non-coding RNA. RefSeq lists it as uncharacterized. The record is from RefSeq and is a predicted model, not a curated record. The transcript has 2 exons. NCBI's taxonomy places the organism in Eukaryota, Metazoa, Chordata, Mammalia, Carnivora, Phocidae.
CUGGGAAGAUAGCGGGGUAGGGUGCCCCUGGGCUGACCUCUUGUCGCGUGGCCGCCUAGAGAGCACCCACGUCGGCAUAAAUAACCCAGAAAGCAGCCCGAAAACUGGCAGAACAGACUCUCCGCAGCCCGGCACAGACAAGCAGCCACAGCGAAGCAGAUCCAUCCCCUCCGAUCGCUCUUGGCAAGAUCCCGUCAAAGCAGUGCCACAAGCCUGGCAGUGUGUGCGUGGCCCAGACAAGUCAGCACCACUCCAAAGUGAGUCCUGCCCCAGGGAGAGGGGAAGAUAAGCACACACCCGUCUGACUGUGACCCCAGCAGUGGGCUGAGGGCAGGCCCCUGCUCUGACUGCAGGCCCCAGCCACGAACAGAAGCUUCUCCGGGGACGGCACAGGGACAGGGCCUGCAGUUUGGUGCUACUGCAUCUCCGGCAAACGCCUGGUCUGACUCAACUCCAGCCCAAGGCAGCCCCGGAGCAGCCCACUAACACCACGGGCACCAGACUCUGCCCACAACAGGCAGGGAGCCAUCGCAGACAACAGGACUGAAGGCAAACACAUCCCAGCCACAAAGGGAGGACACCCCUGGGGCAACACACAUAGGAGACACCCCCGGAAGCACCAGGUUCUGGGGAACAGACAUUGUACUGCAGGACCUCUUCAUAAAGCCACUACUUUCAAGUGCAGGAGACGGAGCUGACUUUCCUAACACAGAGAAACAGACAACGCAAGAGACAGAAUGAGGAGACACAGGAAUAUAUCCCAAAUCAAAGAACAGGACAAAAUCAGAGUAGGAGACCUAAGCGAAACGGAGAUAAGUAAUAUGUCUGAUAGUGAGUUUAAAGUAACACUCAUAAAGAUGCUCGCUAGAAUUGAGGAAGGACUGCAGGACCUCCAUGAGACCCUCCACCGAGAGCUAGCAGACGUAAAAAAGAACCAAUUAGAGCUAUUGGACUCACUAAAUGGAAAUAAAAAUAGAGCAUCUGGAAUAAAUAGCAAGCAAGAGGAAGUAGAAGAAAGGAUCAGCCACCUGGGGGACAGAGUCAUGGAAAGCAAUCAAGCUGAGCAGAUGAGAGGGGGGAAAAAUAAGCAAAAUGAAAAUAGACCCAGGGAACUCAGCAACACUGUCAGGCAUAACAGUUGCAUGAUAGGGAUCCCAGAAGGAGAAGAGCAAGGAAAGGGUGCAGAAGAUUUGUCUGAAGAAAUAAUAGCUGAAAACUUCCUGAAUCUGGGGAAGGAACGAGAAAUCCAGAUCCAGGAGGCACAGAGAGCCCCCAGCACAACCAACCCAAAGAGGUCUGCGCCAAGACACAAAGUAAAUAAGAUGGCCAAAAGUAGUGAUAAAGAGAGAAUUUUAAAAGCAGCAAGAGAAAGGAAAGCAGGUACAUACAAGGGAAACCCCAUACGGCUAUCAGUGGGUUUUUCAGCAGAAACUCUGCAGGCCAGAAGGAAACAGCAUGAUAAAUUCCAACUGCUAAAAGGAAAAAAUCUACAGCCAAGAAUAUUCUAUCCAGCAAGGCUUUCAUUUAGAAUAGAGGGAGAGAUCAAGUUUCCCAGAAAAACAAAAAUUAAGAGCAAAACCAGCCAUGUCCCUGUCACACACGAUGCCAUCGGCCUGUGGGUCCCAAAUUCACGGUCCACCCGCCCUCCUGCCCAAGUCAGCGUGCACGGCCUGCCACCUGCUAAAUGCCAAGUCAACAUGCCUUCACCUCAGAUUGCCAAGGGCUCAAAUUGACACUGUUCCCCUCAAAUUUCAGCCCCUGUGCCCAAGUUUGUGCACAAAAGUGGGAAUAAUUAUAACAGCAGAAUGAAGCAACCCAAACAUCUAUUUCUGUGGAAUAUAAAAUGGAUAAAAGGAGUGUGCUAGGCUGAGAACAUCUCCAAAAAGCACAUGGACAAUACAUACAGCAUGAUUCUCGUUAGUAAAAAACAAAAAAAAAAAAACCUGGGAAGAAUAAAACAAGAUGAAACCGGAGAGGGAGAAAAACCGUAAGAGACUUUUUAAGCAUAGGAAAGAAACAGGCUUGCUGGAGGGGAGGUGGGGGGGGGAUGGGGUGACUAGGUGGUGGGCAUGAAGGAGGAGGGCACGUGAUGGAAUGAGCACUGGGUGUUGUAUGCAACUGAUGAAUCACUGAACUCUACCUCUAAAACUAAUAAUACACUAUAUUGUUAAUUAAUUGAACUUAAAAAAAAAAGGAAACCCAAAA